This 369-nucleotide transfer-messenger RNA is filed under the name Magnetococcales. RNAcentral describes it as "JADGBX01 sp015231265 Standard tmRNA". It matches the Rfam family "transfer-messenger RNA". Rfam says of the family: Bacterial tmRNA, also known as 10Sa RNA or SsrA, is named for its dual tRNA and mRNA-like properties. Its role is to liberate the mRNA from a stalled ribosome. Lineage: Bacteria; Pseudomonadati; Pseudomonadota; Magnetococcia. The record is from RNAcentral. RNAcentral also lists the same sequence under 1 other name.
GGGGGUGAAAUGGCUUCGACGGGGUGUGGAAAGGUACGUGAGGCGAUUCGGCAUGGUACCACCGUAAUGGACCACGGCAUAUAACUGCCAAUGACGAGCACUAUGCUCCUGCCCUCGCUGCUGCCUAACAAUAGGUAACAGUGUUGUGCGGGGUCUGGACCCGGACCCGUCAACAGAAGCGUCAGCAGGGUCACGCCGGAAUUGCGAAGGCCGGUUGAAAUCCAAGGUCGCCCAGUGUCCCGAGGUAACGGGAGGAUGUGAACACGCUGGCCUGUAACGUUCACACCCAUACGGUCAGCAAAAUGAUCGUAACUCCUCUCGACUCACUACACAUUGCGGACCCGGGUUCGACUCCCGGCACCUCCACCA